UAUAGAUUUCUCCCCAAUCAGAUAAGGCUGGAGCUGCCACUUCUUCUCCCCCUCACCGCGUCCCAUCCCCAUCCCCAUCGCCGGCGCCCCUCCCUCCCCAUCGUCGGCGCCCUCUCUCCCAUCCCUAUCCCUGUCGCUGGCGCCCCUCCUUCCCAUCCCCAUCAACGUCGCCGGCGCCCCUCCCUCCCCGUCGUCGGCGCGACGAGCCGCGAUCUCUGGGAGGCGAGCGCGGGAGGAGAAGAAACGCGCGCGCAGGGAGGGCGAUUUGGGGAUGAAGCGCGCCGGGAGGAACCGCGCGGCAAAGCCACGCCUCAGCAAUGCGCCAUGCCCUUGUUUCUCCACGCUGCCCCGCCUCGAUAGCGCCGAAGAACGGGUGACCAAGUUUGGUCACACGCGCUCGCGAUUUGUGGGCCAACGCUAGGACGUGGCGGCGAUUUUUGGCGGCUCGCCUAUGUGGACCGCUCGGGCUGAAUACCAGCAGGGUGCACUGUGAAUGGCCUAACUGUAUUGCCCUCUUUCUCAGCAAAGCUUCGCUCUAAAGUUGUUACUGUAUUUCUAGUGUUGCACAUACAAAAGUAGUACUAGUACUCCUUUAGUUACAGAGUAAAUACAACUUGGAGACAGGUUUUACAUUCUUGCUUCCUAAAAUAAUCAUACAAGAAUCUUGACUGCUCUGUCUCGGGAUACAAGUUUUAAUUAGCAGGUGGAAAGUAGUGCUGACA
Molecule: long non-coding RNA, 722 nt
Organism: Oryza sativa Japonica Group (Japanese rice)
Lineage: Eukaryota; Viridiplantae; Streptophyta; Magnoliopsida; Poales; Poaceae
Source: RefSeq, a predicted model, not a curated record